RNAcentral lists this long non-coding RNA (2525 nucleotides) under Cucumis sativus (cucumber). RNAcentral's name for it is "long non-coding RNA (CSAT_LNC000145)". The record is from RNAcentral. Lineage: Eukaryota; Viridiplantae; Streptophyta; Magnoliopsida; Cucurbitales; Cucurbitaceae.
UUCGUAUUAAUAUACUUGCUAUUGCUCCAAAAGAACCCUAAAUGUGGAAACUCAUUUAGUAAAAGAACAAGAUAUUCAUAAAUAAACCAGGUCAUUUGAUAUAAAAUCCUAACAUAUAGUACUUAUAGUAUAGACUAAAGUGAUUAGAUCAUUGAGCCAUUCAUUUUUACCUUGUCUUAUGAAAGAAAAAAAACCUCGAAUUGAGGUGGUUAAUGGGGAACUUGUAGCUUAUGGUGUUUCCUUCCCUGCCUACUAUGUCUUCUAUCAUUUUAUUUCCUUUUGACCUUAUGUUUUCUUAAGGUAGCUAAAAUCAACAAAACAGGUAAAGAAUCCAUGUAAAAAAACUUUCUAGUGUUUGUUAAUUUCAUAAUAAGAAAAGAAAGCAAAAAACAAGAAUGGAUCUCAAAAGAACCUUUUACUAUUUGUUAAUUACAUAACAAGAAAAGAAAGCAAAAUAGAAGUGGCUAGAGCUCUAUCUCAACUCCAUGUCAAAGACACAAAUUGGGUGGACUAGGAUGAUCAUCAAUAAUGGUAAUAUUCCAUCACCAGCGUUUUGGUAAAUUUUUGGAUGACUUUGUCUGUAGGAAAAUUGUUAGUUUCUUGUAGUAAGAGGUUAAAAUUGGGUAUAUGAAUAUUAAGUGAGGGAAAAAAAGGGUUGAAAAUUACAUUUUGGUUUAUGCAUUUUUUGAAAAUAACAAGUUAGUCUCUAUGUAAUUUAAUUUUGUAAUAAUUUAGCACUUAACAAUAAAGAUAUUUAAUUUAAAAUUUGUAAUGACUUAACCAUCAUAUCAAAAGUUAGAGUUACAAUUUAACGAGUUUACUCCCAUCAGGUAAAUUAGAAAUUAAUUAAUUAAAACCAACAACCAUUAAAUUGAGAGCUUAUAUUAGUAAAUAAUAAUAUAGACAUUUGUUUUCAAUGAAAAAUUUUAAUUGUCAAUUAAAAAGGAAAAUUCUCACAAAUGGUAGAAAUACCAAACUAAAAAAUCUCUCUGCCUCUUUUUGGUCUCUACUUCUUUUUAUUCUUCAACAGUGACAAUUUUAUUAAUCUUCCUUUCACCGUCUUCUUCUUGUUCUUAAUUUUUUCUUCUUCAUUAUCAAUAUAUUGGAAUUAAAUUUCAACUAUACGUAAUUUAACACUGGAGAAUGUGAUAAUUAAAUAGAGAUAGAACUCUAUCUCUCUUUUACGUACACAAAAAUAAUAUAUAUGCUAUUAAAUGUACUUUGUUCUAUAUCUUUAAUUAGAAUGUUGUCCGAGAUUACUUUUCAAUUGAAUAUGAUAUAAUAUUAGAAUAAGAUUGUUUGGGUGUUUUCCAAAGAAAUAUCAUGUACUCAUGCACUGGGUCUUUGGAUUUUUAAGGUGGAUAGUUAUUCUUAGGUAACUAAGUAUUAUUAUUCAAGAACAUUGUCAUCAAUAUGUAAAGGUUAUGUUCCACCUACUGGAGUUUAUUCAAAUUAGAGAGGGUUAUAGAUGACAACAAUGAAUCAUUACUUUUUGUUGUUAAACGUCAAAAGACCUAGAAAAUAAAGGAUCCUACCUAGAGGUGAAGCUAAAAGUUCAACAAAAUUUAGUCUUUGUAAUCACAAAGGUCACAAUGGUCCAGGUGACCGGUCGGAAGAGCUCUUUCCUAUGGUCAGCUCAACCGUCCCCACGGGUAGAACGAGGGGUUGAUUCCAUUUAUCUUAUCAUCUUUGUUUGGAUUUCUUCUCUUGGGAGUCCAAGGCCGAGGGCCAGAUCACAUCUUUCAGCUUACCGAAAGGAAGCAACUUCCACAGCCCCAAGCAACCUCCUCUCUUCUUAGUCAAGCAGCAUCUGGCGCGUCCAACGCCCUACCUACUCUUUCCCAACCUGAAACUGCACUCAUUCGUAGAAAGGAAGUCGUCGCGCGAGUCACUAUGGUUGUCCGGUUUAGAGUCCUUCAGACGUCCUCAGUCCUUUCCAUUAGUAGUUAGGAGCUUUUCAUAUUGCGGAAAAGAAUAUUGAAGCAAGGCGCAAAGAAUAUUGCAACCUAUCCCCCUUUCCACGGAGUGGGCUGACUUUGCACCUCAUCCUCUCCUCCAUCUCAGUCGAGCUUCUCUUUCGGGAUGCGAGAGGUUAGAAGAAGGAAGGCGCUAGUAUAUAAGCAAGCCACCACCAACCUAUUCCCCUUCGUCGCUUAGGCCUGCAGAUGAAAGCUGACUUCACGCUUUCCCCCAGCCCCUCCGGGGAGGAGAGGCAAUCUGGGAAAUCCGGGUUAGCUGGCCCCUCUUGAUCUGGGUCUUACCUUGAGUCCCUAGCUUUCGAGAUAGAUGGUUCGGUUACAAACUCGGACCAAUCAAUUUAUGAUGUAAUCAUGAUAGUUGUAUUUGUUUUACGUGUAUUUUCAAAUUAUUCAUAUUUGAGUUUGUGAGAGUUAUUUUUUGAUGUAUCCUAGUUUUGAGUAUAAGCAAAUGGAACACUAUCUUCAAAUCAAUAAAAUAUUAUAAUAUCUUUGUGUAGAUUCAUCUUUUAAUUAUACCAAUGGAAGCAUAACAAAUAAACUAUUUUU